RNAcentral lists this ribosomal RNA (369 nucleotides) under uncultured bacterium. RNAcentral describes it as "partial 16S ribosomal RNA". It matches the Rfam family "Bacterial small subunit ribosomal RNA", at positions 338 to 699 of the family's 1533-position model. The record is from RNAcentral.
CCUACGGGGGACAGCAGUGGGGAAUAUUGCGCAAUGGGCGAAAGCCUGACGCAGCGACGCCGCGUGAGGGAUGAAGGUCUUCGGAUCGUAAACCUCUGUCAGCAGGGAAGAACGGUCACUGUGCUAAUCAGCAGUGAAUUGACGGUACCUGCAAAGGAAGCACCGGCUAACUCAGUGCCAGCAGCCGCGGUAAUACGGAGGGUGCGAGCGUUAAUCGGAAUUACUGGGCGUAAAGCGCUCGUAGGCGGUAUGUCAAGUCAAGGGUGAAAUCCCCGCGCUCAACGUGGGAACUGCCUUUGAAACUGGCAAACUGGAGUGUGUGUGAGGAUAGUGGAAUGUCAGGUGUAGGAGUGAAAUCCGUAGAUAUCU